Molecule: ribosomal RNA, 546 nt
Filed under: uncultured delta proteobacterium
Lineage: Bacteria; Deltaproteobacteria
Description: bacterial SSU rRNA
Rfam family: Bacterial small subunit ribosomal RNA
Source: RNAcentral
UGGGAAUUGGGCAUGGGCGAAGCCUGACCAGCGAUGUCGCGUGAGGGAUGAAGGCCUUCGGGUCGUAAACCUCUGUCAGGAGGGACGAUGGGACUUAUGUCUUGACGGUACCUCCAGAGGAAGCCCCGGCUAACUCCGUGCCAGCAGCCGCGGUAAUACGGAGGGGGCAAGCGUUGCUCGGAAUUACUGGGCGUAAAGGGUCCGCAGGCUGUCAGGCAAGUUGGUUGUGAAAGCUCAAGGCUUAACCUUGGAAUUGCAUCCAAAACUGCCUGACUAGAGUACAAGAGAGGUUGGCAGAAUUCCCGGUGUAGCGGUGAAAUGCAUAGAUAUCGGGAGGAAUACCAGAGGCGAAGGCGGCCAACUGGCUUGUAACUGACGCUCAGGGACGAAAGCGUGGGUAGCAAACCGGAUUAGAUACCCGGGUAGUCCACGCCCUAAACGAUGGAUGCUAGGUAGGGGGAAUUCAAUUCUCCUUGCCGUAGUUAACGCAUUAAGCAUCCCGCCUGGGGAGUACGGUCGCAAGGCUGAAACUCAAGGGAAUUGACG